UCAGCAUAUAUAUGUGAUGCUGGUGAAGAGUUAGUAGCAUUGAGGAAGAAGCUCGCUACCACAGAAUCUCCAGAAAACACAGUCUUCUCCAAUUACCGAUGAGCUAAGUCUUGUAUGAUAUAUAGAUGGUAGUGGAGUCCUUUUUCUUAUUUAUGUAAUUCAAAUGAAAUUAUAUUACCAAUAUAAAAGUUUAAUUUCAGUUUAUUAGGCGGUCCAUGCAUUUAUUAUUGUUCACUGAGUGACAAUGCCUUCAUGGUAUAUAGUGUCUGGUUGGAGUUGUUCUCAUGGCAAGAUAGUAAUGUGCUGUAUUACCUUACUAACUAAUAUUUUAUUAUAGGCCCCGA
This 344-nucleotide unclassified non-coding RNA is filed under the name Hevea brasiliensis (rubber tree). Lineage: Eukaryota; Viridiplantae; Streptophyta; Magnoliopsida; Malpighiales; Euphorbiaceae. The record is from RNAcentral.